CGGGUAGUAUCCCCCGGGGGAACUGCACCGCCUGUAGUUAAUUUAAAACCGCAAAGAUGUUUCCGCUUGGAACCAUACGGACCGAGACGGGAGG
Molecule: regulatory RNA element, 94 nt
Rfam family: pan motif
Source: Rfam